This 429-nucleotide ribosomal RNA is filed under the name Pseudomonadota bacterium. RNAcentral describes it as "Proteobacteria bacterium partial 16S ribosomal RNA". It matches the Rfam family "Bacterial small subunit ribosomal RNA", at positions 355 to 776 of the family's 1533-position model. The record is from RNAcentral. Lineage: Bacteria; Pseudomonadati; Pseudomonadota.
UGGGGAAUAUUGGACAAUGGGCGAAAGCCUGAUCCAGCCAUGCCGCGUGUGUGAAGAAGGUCUUCGGAUUGUAAAGCACUUUAAGUUGGGAGGAAGGGCAGUAAGCGAAUACCUUGCUGUUUUGACGUUACCGACAGAAUAAGCACCGGCUAACUCUGUGCCAGCAGCCGCGGUAAUACAGAGGGUGCAAGCGUUAAUCGGAAUUACUGGGCGUAAAGCGCGCGUAGGUGGUUCGUUAAGUUGAAUGUGAAAGCCCCGGGCUCAACCUGGGAACAGCAUCCAAAACUGGCGAGAUAGAGUAGGGCAGAGGGUGGUGGAAUUUCCUGUGUAGCGAUGAAAGGCGUAGAUAUAGGAAGGAACACCAGUAGCGAAGGCGACCACCUGGGCUCAUACUGACACUGAGGUGCGAAAGCGUGGGGAGCAAACAGG